This 424-nucleotide ribosomal RNA is filed under the name uncultured prokaryote. RNAcentral's name for it is "bacterial SSU rRNA". It matches the Rfam family "Bacterial small subunit ribosomal RNA", at positions 355 to 776 of the family's 1533-position model. The record is from RNAcentral. RNAcentral also lists the same sequence under 1 other name.
UAAGGAAUAUUGGGCAAUGGAGGCAACUCUGACCCAGCCAUGCCGCGUGAAGGAUGGAGGCCCUACGGGUCGUAAACUUCUUUUGUCAGGGAAUAAAGUCACCUACGUGUAGGUGUUUGCAGGUACCUGAAGAAUAAGCAUCGGCUAACUCCGUGCCAGCAGCCGCGGUAAUACGGAGGAUGCGAGCGUUAUCCGGAUUUAUUGGGUUUAAAGGGUGCGUAGGCGGAUCGUUAAGUCAGCGGUGAAAGUUCCCGGCUCAACCGGGUCAGUGCCGUUGAUACUGGCGGUCUUGAAUACGGUCAAGGCAGGCGGAAUGUGAUGUGUAGCGGUGAAAUGCAUAGAUAUGUCACAGAACUCCGAUAGCGAAGGCAGCUUGCCGGGCCUGUAUUGACGCUGAGGCACGAAAGCGUGGGGAUCAAACAGG